RNAcentral lists this ribosomal RNA (253 nucleotides) under uncultured bacterium. Its description in RNAcentral is "partial 16S ribosomal RNA". It matches the Rfam family "Bacterial small subunit ribosomal RNA", at positions 524 to 776 of the family's 1533-position model. The record is from RNAcentral.
UACGUAGGGGGCAAGCGUUGUCCGGAAUUAUUGGGCGUAAAGAGCGUGUAGGCGGCCCGGUAAGUCCGCUGUGAAAGUCCAGGGCUCAACCCUGGGAUGCCGGUGGAUACUGUCGGGCUCGAGUCCGGAAGAGGAGUGUGGAAUUCCUGGUGUAGCGGUGAAAUGCGCAGAUAUCAGGAGGAACACCAAUGGCGAAGGCAGCACUCUGGGACGUGACUGACGCUGAGACGCGAAAGCGUGGGGAGCAAACAGG